Long non-coding RNA from Cyprinus carpio carpio, 409 nucleotides. NCBI's taxonomy places the organism in Eukaryota, Metazoa, Chordata, Actinopteri, Cypriniformes, Cyprinidae. The record is from Ensembl.
AUGACAUCAUCUAGAUUUCAAGCGAUUCCAGUCACAGACAUAGAAGGAUCUGCUCCCUGCCAGUGGAAAUGCGAACCGUUUCUGAACAAGCAGCACUCUUGGCUGAGCACCAGCUCCAGCUCCACCAGGUGCCACCCCUGGCCACCAUGUAGACCUGCCCCUGAUGACUUGCACUACAAGAGAGCUGCAUCUUCACUUGACAAAGGAUCCCUAACACAAACAUGGUGAAGCUGUUCAGUAAAAAAAGCAAACAAGAUUAGAAAUGGUUAAGGGAUUGGGACUUACUUUGAAAUAUUACUGAACCUCUACAGUUUAUUGUAUGUUUGUAAUAUUACAUAGACUAUUCUUCAUAAUUGAAUUUAAAAAAAUAAUUUAAUUUAUAAUGCAAUAAUUUAACAUGUAUUAAAUG